UACGGAGGAGGCUAGCGUUUUUCGGAAUUACUGGGCGUAAAGGGCGCGCAGGCGGCUGAUCAAGACAGGCGUGAAAGGCCUGGGCUCAACGCGGGAAUUGCGCUUGAGACUGGGCUGGCUUGAGGGCGGGAGAGGAUGGUGGAAUUCCCAGUGUAGAGGUGAAAUUCGCAGAUAUUGGGAAGAACACCUGUGGCGAAGGCGGCCAUCUGGACCGCAACUGACGCUGAGGCGCGAAACCGUGGGGAGCCAACAGG
RNAcentral lists this ribosomal RNA (254 nucleotides) under uncultured bacterium. RNAcentral describes it as "partial 16S ribosomal RNA". It matches the Rfam family "Bacterial small subunit ribosomal RNA", at positions 524 to 776 of the family's 1533-position model. The record is from RNAcentral.